Non-coding RNA from Podarcis lilfordi (Lilford's wall lizard), 150 nucleotides. The record is from the annotation of a GenBank genome assembly. Lineage: Eukaryota; Metazoa; Chordata; Lepidosauria; Squamata; Lacertidae.
ACCUGAAGCAUCUUUAACCCGAGGUACCACUGUACUAUAGUCUUUCUUCUUUUCUUCACUUUUUAAAAAAAUUAUACCUUUUAUGCAAAGAAAAAUAAAUAAAUUAUAAAACCCAAUACGGUCAUACCUCGGGUUGAAUGUGCUUCAGGU